Molecule: ribosomal RNA, 207 nt
Filed under: uncultured delta proteobacterium
Lineage: Bacteria; Deltaproteobacteria
Description: partial 16S ribosomal RNA
Rfam family: Bacterial small subunit ribosomal RNA
Source: RNAcentral
CGUGUAGGCGGCCUGUUAAGUCAGAUGUGAAAGCCCGGGGCUCAACCCCGGAAGUGCAUUUGAUACUGGCGGGCUUGAGUGCGGGAGAGGAAAGCGGAAUUCCCAGUGUAGAGGUGAAAUUCGUAGAUAUUGGGAGGAACACCGGUGGCGUAGGCGGCUUUCUGGACCGACACUGACGCUGAGACGCGAAAGCGUGGGGAGCAAACA